GCCAAUAAAAUGGCAAAUAAGAACGCGUAAGUGAGCUUGUAUAAAGAAAGCUCAUGGUUUCUAAUCACAGUGUGUGAAACUUGCUUUAGAAAAAUUUAACGAAGUUGACCAAAAUGUCAAUUGUUGUAACGGGGUGAUGAUACUUUGAUUCCCCACACCUUUUGCAGUGCUGCCCUAUGCUUUUAAAAUGCAACAAGAAUUCUUAAAAUAUACACAUCCUGCGAGCCUCCUUCGCAGAUGGCUCCUGGAAGAGAGGAGAUAGUGCAGGUGACACGCCCUAGGCUGAAGGGGGCUCCGAGGGCCUGACUCAGCAGCGUGCGGACCGGGGCGAACCUGGGCCCCGGGACCCCGGGAUGCGAUCCCGCCCCUGCCUCCUUGCUCACCCACCACCGCCCCGCUGGGGAUCUCAGAGCGCAGUGGGGCCAGCCCUCCUCCCAGCCCCCCGAGCGGGCUGGCCCCGGCCACCCUCCCCGCGAAGUUUCUCCUCGGUAGGCUCCAUGCCUAGCACAGAGCCCACCAGGGAGCUCUUCGGAGAGCUGGCAUUCACAAUUCUGACAUCAAGACCUGAGCUGACACCAAGAGCCGGACUCUCAACCGACUGAGCCACUCAGGUGCCCCUGUUUUGUAAUAUCAGGAUGUACCACAUGGAAUCAAGAAAAAAGAAGCAACACUAAAAAACAGAAAAAGACCCUGGCUUUCCAAGUCUGUAGCAUCUUUUCGGUUGCUCUGUUUCAAGGACGAGGAAGUGAGCCAGUUGACGUGGGAGAGAACAUUCCUGGAUGAAGGACAAGGGGACAAGAGAAAAUGGGUGAAGCGCUGGUGUUUAAGGAGAGUGAUUUGGAGCCAGAUCGCUCAGGGCCUUGAAACCCAGGGAGAAGCGCCAUCAGGUGUAAGCCUUAGGAAGCUCACUCUGGCCUGAGUGUAGAGGAUGGGCGGGGGAGAAGGAGGUGGGAGAGGCUGUUAUGACCCAGAGGACAGAUACUGACAUCAGAACUCAAGUGGUGGAAGGGAGAGGGUGAGCGGAGCUGGGAACUACAGAGAAGGUGGAAGAGCUUUCUGGUUGGGGCCACUGGGAGUUCAGUCCUGAGUGAGGAAAGAAGACAAAUCAGUUUAGGAUCGGCUGACUGUGAGAUGCCUGUGGGAUAGGCAGGUGGAAAUACCCCGGGGACCAUUGGAUAAGCACUUCCAGAAACCAGCAGGGCCAGAGGUCUGGUUUAGGGAGCUAUUGGCAUCUAGGUGGUAAUUGAAGCCAAGAGUAGAGCAGCAGGGGGUGGGGGUGGGGGUACUGCUGUCAAUAUCUGGAGACAUUUUUGAUUGUCGUAGUGGGGUAGGGGCUGAGCUUCCACUGGCAUCUAGUAGGAGGAGGCCAGAGAGGCUACUAAACUUCCCAGAAUGCACAGGAGCCAGUAAAGAAUUACCUGACCUCAGUGUCAGCAGUGCUGAGGUCCAGAAAACCUGGAGAUGGGGGUGUGUGAAGAGCAGGAAGAGGAUGGUUAUGGAGCCCUAGCAGAGAAGCAGGCCUUUAAGGAGGCUGAAAAGGAACCAUCAGAGAGAAGCCACUGACCAGGGAAACUUCCUGUUACGUGAGCUAUUGGCAAAUCACUGUCAAGUACAGGGUAAUGGAUUAAGUGCUAAGGCAGGGCCUGAAGAGGGAGGCCGGUGAGGGAAUCUCCAGAUGAAUCCUGCACUGCUGCCCCACCCCCAGCAGAAACGCCACAGACCGGCUGCCAGUGGACCCCCUGGGGACGCCAAAGAGCUUUACAGAGAAGGCCUCUUACCUUCUUCUCAGCCUUGCUCAAAAGACAGGCCAUGGAGAAAGGGAAAUUCCUGCAGCGUUGGGACUUGGGACUCGCGGUUAAACAGAGGCAGCAAGUUUCAACCGGCUGCGCAAGGAAGAGCCUCUCCAAGUUUGCCUCUUCAGCUGCCUGGCAGGAAAAGGGUCAGGAGUUCAGCCGUUUCUCAAAACUGUACUUUCUUCCCUUGUAGGAAUUUGGGCUGCAAAUAUUUUUCACUAAGCCAGGGGGUUUCGACUCACUGGAUUCUACUGCUGGGAAUGACUUCCGAUGUCAUCCGGGUUAUCCCCUGUGCUUGAUAUUUCGCUGGCCUGGUUUGGCAUCUUGGGAGCUUGGGUCCCGUUCUAGCUGAAACUGGCAUACCUCUCGAGUUGGCGACUGGCGACGCUGUGUUUGGACGCUCUGGCUUCCCCUAAAUAGAACCUGACUCCUUGGAUGAAUCUCGAAAUAAUAUUUGUGUCAUUUGUCCUCUCCACUUGCCAUGUUUAAUUUACGUGCCCUAAAAAAAUAAUAAGACGGUGUAUUUAAAGUGCUUAGCCCCAUACCUAGCCCGUUGUAAAUGCUCAAUAAAAUGUCAGCUGUA
Molecule: long non-coding RNA, 2376 nt
Organism: Felis catus (domestic cat)
Lineage: Eukaryota; Metazoa; Chordata; Mammalia; Carnivora; Felidae
Exons: 2
Source: RefSeq, a predicted model, not a curated record